ACGCUCGACACCUACGAGGCAGCAGUGGGGAAUAUUGCACAAUGGGGGAAACCCUGAUGCAGCGACGCCGCGUGGAGGAAGAAGGUCUUCGGAUUGUAAACUCCUGUUGUUGGGGAAAAANGGAUGGUACCCAACAAGGAAGUGACGGCUAACUACGUACCAGCAGCCGCGGUAAUCUGAGCGGGCUGGCAAGGC
RNAcentral lists this ribosomal RNA (195 nucleotides) under uncultured bacterium. RNAcentral describes it as "partial 16S ribosomal RNA". It matches the Rfam family "Bacterial small subunit ribosomal RNA", at positions 326 to 539 of the family's 1533-position model. The record is from RNAcentral.